Molecule: long non-coding RNA, 1470 nt
Filed under: Mytilus galloprovincialis (Mediterranean mussel)
Lineage: Eukaryota; Metazoa; Mollusca; Bivalvia; Mytilida; Mytilidae
Source: RNAcentral
AUAAGGCCACACCAAUUUAAUUUCUUGUUCUACGGAUUUUUGGACUCCAAAAUUUGGGGCGAGCGAGCGAUUUGAAAAUUUUAAUAAAAAAAUAUUUAAUUUGUAAAUUUUUGAGGCGAAGCUUGAAAAGUAAAGGCGAUCGAUUAUAAUUUUUUUUUGUAAACAUAAAAUAGUAGGUUUUGACAAUUUUAAAGCUUGAUUUCUGACUUGUACUUUGACAUUUCUUUAAUUUCUGAAGUAUGUUUUCCCUGUUCACCAAGAAAUAAUUAAAUCUGGUCUAUGUAUGUGUGACUGACAAUGAGACAAUUCUCCAUCCAAGUCAUAAUCAGUUUGGGGACAACCCCUUAAUGUUAUAAAUAUCCCUUUUACAUGUUUUAUGAGGGAUCAAUAUAAGUUAAAAUAUAUUUGUUUGUACAAAAGGGCUCAUAUUUUCUCAAAGAACUAUAUUAUCUAUCUGGUAUUAAAUGGUCAAAACAUGUCCAAGAAUUUUGUAAUAUUCCUGGACUUGAACCAUGUUAACACAUUUACUUUAACAGUUUAAUAUUAUUCAAAAUAAGUGGACCCCUCUUUUAGAAAAAGUUGUUUAAAAUAUUAUGCAACUCUCCUCUUUUUGAGUACAAAAUUCUAGGUUUUCAAAGGUUUUGUAUAGAAGGACUAUACAAAUCCAUGGUAUUUCUAUUUUCAAUUCUACAUCAGUAAAAUGACCCCUUGUCUGAGGGAGGGUUGUUCUCAACCUGAUAAUAACAAACACAGCCACAGGUCAAAGUACGGCCUUUUACACAGGGCUUUGAUACAGACCAAACAGCAGGCUAUAAAGGACCCCAAAAUUAUUAGCGUACACAAUUCGAACAGGAAAACCAACGAUCUAAUUUAUAUAUCAUGUAUAUCCAAACGGGAAAAUACCAAUGAACAACAUCAACAAACGAUAACUGCUGAACGACAGGCCCCUCAAUCAAUCAGGACAGGUGCAUAAACAUGCACCGGCUAUGGAUAGUUUUGUUUCGCCAGCAUACAAUAUAAUUGCAGUUGAAGGCAAAUCCUUCAGAAGUUCUUUGUACUUUAUUCCAACAACGAACAUGUUUUGAUAGGGAAUAUAAGUAAGGGGAAAGUAACCAAUUUUUUGUUCUUUACAGGUAUUCCCGCUGAUAUAAAUUUAUAUCGGAGCACUCCCGCUUUAGAUAAAUAGGUUUCAUGCUGAAACAAAUAUUCUCACAGAUAUUUACACAGUGUGGUGGGGUGCUUUUAUGUUUAAAAUCGUUAUAUAUACAGGUUAGACUGUGAUUUUAAAAACAAAUGCUGAUAUCUUUUUAUAAUAUUUACAAAAAAACGGUGCGGGAAAUGGACAUGAUUACAUUUCCGGAUGCGGGAAGCGGGAAUAUAAAAAAAAAUAAAAAAAUUCUGUUUUGAAAAAAAUAGGUGCGGGCGGGUCCGUCGAACAAGGAAUCAAAUUGGUGUGGCCUAAGUAAUUUU